Molecule: unclassified non-coding RNA, 279 nt
Filed under: plant metagenome
Description: partial contains small subunit ribosomal RNA, internal transcribed spacer 1, and 5.8S ribosomal RNA
Source: RNAcentral
UUUCCGUAGGUGAACCUGCGGAAGGAUCAUUAUUGUGUAACCGAGGUGAGAGGGCUGUCGCUGACCCGUUAGUUCGUACACUCCCGAGUGCCCUCACACACAUCCCUCUCUCCCCUAUCUGCAGCGCCGCGUGGGUCCCCCUUUGGCUUGUUCGGUGGGGGGCACACGUUUUCACUCAAACUUUGUAUGCAGUGUAGAAUGUAUUUUUUCUUUUUGCGAUAACGCAAUUAAUUCAGCUUUCAACAACGUAACUAUUGGCUCUCGCCUCAAUGAAAAACG